Molecule: non-coding RNA, 322 nt
Organism: Mus musculus (house mouse)
Lineage: Eukaryota; Metazoa; Chordata; Mammalia; Rodentia; Muridae
Source: Rfam
AGGUGACAGCUGUAACAUCUGCUGCCCCAUUGAUCAUUAAAGCUGAUUCUACAGAUAUAGCUGGCUAGGCAAGAGUAUUUAUUUUCUCCUUCCCCACUCGAUAUAUGGCCCUUCUAAAGAAUCGUCAUGCUCUGUUGAAGAGGAUGACUUUUCCAGACUAAUAGAGGACGUGUCUUCAGUCAAGGGUACAGGAGCAGCUCAGCUCCCCUAGUAGAAUUUCUAAAAGUACUCGCUAGGUCCAAAUUAUACUUUAAAUCAAUUGGUAUUUAGGGUACUUUGACUUUUCUUCUCUGCAUCCUUGUUCUAUGUAUAGGCAUGAAAU